This 341-nucleotide ribosomal RNA is filed under the name uncultured soil bacterium. RNAcentral describes it as "bacterial SSU rRNA". It matches the Rfam family "Bacterial small subunit ribosomal RNA", at positions 26 to 369 of the family's 1533-position model. The record is from RNAcentral.
AGAUUGAACGCUGGCGGCAGGCCUAACACAUGCAAGUCGAGCGGUAGAGAGGUGCUUGCAUCUCUUGAGAGCGGCGGACGGGUGAGUAAUGCCUAGGAAUCUGCCUAGUGGUGGGGGAUAACGUUCGGAAACGGACGCUAAUACCGCAUACGUCCUACGGGAGAAAGCGGGGGACCUUCGGGCCUCGCGCCAUUAGAUGAGCCUAGGUCGGAUUAGCUAGUUGGUGAGGUAAUGGCUCACCAAGGCGACGAUCCGUAACUGGUCUGAGAGGAUGAUCAGUCAUACUGGAACUGAGACACGGUCCAGACUCCGUACGGGAGCAGCAGUGGGGAAUAUUGGAC